RNAcentral lists this ribosomal RNA (245 nucleotides) under uncultured bacterium. Its description in RNAcentral is "partial 16S ribosomal RNA". It matches the Rfam family "Bacterial small subunit ribosomal RNA", at positions 524 to 767 of the family's 1533-position model. The record is from RNAcentral.
GACGAAGGUGGCAAGCGUUGUUCGGAAUCACUGGGCUUAAAGAGCACGUAGGCGGCUCAUCAAGCGUCUUGUGAAAUCCCUCGGCUCAACCGAGGAAUUGCUGGGCGAACUGAUCGAGCUUGAGGCAGGUAGGGGCGCGUGGAACUCUUGGUGGAGCGGUGGAAUGCGUAGAUAUCAAGAGGAACGCCAGAGGCGAAAGCGAUGCGCUGGGCCUGUCCUGACGCUGAGGUGCGAAAGCCAGGGGA